UACGGGAGGCAGCAGUGGGGAAUAUUGCACAAUGGAGGAAACUCUGAUGCAGCGACGCCGCGUGAGUGACGAAGUGUUUCGGCAUGUAAAGCUCUAUCAGCAGGGAAGAAAAUGACGGUACCUUUCAAGAAAGCCACGGCUAACUACGUGCCAUGCAGCCGCGGUAAU
Molecule: ribosomal RNA, 168 nt
Filed under: uncultured rumen bacterium
Lineage: Bacteria
Description: partial 16S ribosomal RNA
Rfam family: Bacterial small subunit ribosomal RNA
Source: RNAcentral